AGAUCACGUGCAAGUUUAGAUACAGAUUGCCAUUUUUCAGUGUGAAAAUCAAGUUGCAUGCUUUUAAUUGCCUCAAAAAGAGCGUCCAAAGAGUCCCCUUGAAAUGGAAGGACACCAACCAGUAGUCCAUGUAAAAGAACACCAGCACUCCAAAUAUCUGCUUUUUGACCAUAAUCCCCUGUAAGAACUUCAGGGGCCACAUACG
This 205-nucleotide unclassified non-coding RNA is filed under the name Hevea brasiliensis (rubber tree). The record is from RNAcentral. Lineage: Eukaryota; Viridiplantae; Streptophyta; Magnoliopsida; Malpighiales; Euphorbiaceae.